UGGGGAAUAUUGGACAAUGGGGGCAACCCUGAUCCAGCAAUGCCGCGUGUGUGAAGAAGGCCUUCGGGUUGUAAAGCACUUUUAUCGGGAACGAAACAUUGUCGGCCAAUACCCGGCAAGACUGACGGUACCCGAGGAAUAAGCACCGGCUAACUCCGUGCCAGCAGCCGCGGUAAUACGGAGGGUGCAAGCGUUAAUCGGAAUUACUGGGCGUAAAGCGUGCGCAGGCGGUUUGUUAAGUCCGCUGUGAAAUCCCCGAGCUCAACUUGGGAAUUGCAGUGGAUACUGGCAAGCUGGAGUAUGGUAGAGGAAGGUGGAAUUCCCGGUGUAGCAGUGAAAUGCGUAGAGAUCGGGAGGAACACCAGUGGCGAAGGCGGCCUUCUGGACCAAUACUGACGCUCAUGCACGAAAGCGUGGGGAGCAAACA
Molecule: ribosomal RNA, 427 nt
Filed under: uncultured Chujaibacter sp.
Lineage: Bacteria; Pseudomonadati; Pseudomonadota; Gammaproteobacteria; Lysobacterales; Lysobacteraceae
Description: bacterial SSU rRNA
Rfam family: Bacterial small subunit ribosomal RNA
Source: RNAcentral